CCUACGGGAGGCAGCAGUGGGGAAUAUUGGUCAAUGGGCGCAAGCCUGACCCAGCCACGUCGCGUGAAGGAAGAAGGCUCUCGGGUUGUUAACUUCUUUUUUCAGGGACGAAGCAAGUGACGGUACCUGAUGAAUAAGCCUCCGCUAACUACGUGCCAGCAGCCGCUGCAAGACGUAGGCGGCAAGCGUUAUCCGGAUUUACUGGGUGUAAAGGGUGUGUAGGCGGGAAAGCAAGUCAGAUGUGAAAACCAUGGGCUCAACCUGUGGCCUGCAUUUGAAACUGUUUGUCUUGAGUACUGGAGAGGCAGACGGAAUUCCUGGUGUAGCGGUGAAAUGCGUAGAUAUUAGGAGGAACACCGGUGGCGAAGGCAGUCUGCUGGACAGCAACUGACGCUGAGGCGCGAAAGCGUGGGGAGCAAACAGGAUUAGAUACCCGUGUAGUC
Molecule: ribosomal RNA, 443 nt
Filed under: uncultured bacterium
Lineage: Bacteria
Description: partial 16S ribosomal RNA
Rfam family: Bacterial small subunit ribosomal RNA
Source: RNAcentral